This is a long non-coding RNA of Dalotia coriaria, 929 nucleotides long. RefSeq lists it as uncharacterized. The transcript is spliced from 3 exons. Lineage: Eukaryota; Metazoa; Arthropoda; Insecta; Coleoptera; Staphylinidae. The record is from RefSeq and is a predicted model, not a curated record.
UUAGAAGUCAUAAACGUUAACGUAAACAUGUAUAAAGUGAUUUGUAUUUGUUUGUUUCUAAAUUCACACUUUUUUUUUGAAGUUCUGGGUGAUGACAAUGGAGAACAAUCAAUAUGUUUGAAUGGAAUAAACAAAGAUUUUAUUGUUAAAAGUUAUGAAAAUUUAAACAAAAAUAUAGAACCAGAAGAAACAUUUAAAAAUUUCAUUGGGUGUUUAUAUAAUGAAGCAGGAUAUACAGAGAGUAGCAGUAAGAAUAUUAAUAUUGAAAAAUUCCGAGAAGUUGCAUUGAUAGGCAAAACAAACGAAAUGGUAGAUCAGAUAUUAAAAGGUUGUGAUAAUUUGACAGCAGAUGCAAAAUUCAUCGCUUAUGAACACUAUAAAUGUGUGAAUUCGAAUGUAAUGCAAUUACAGAGUGCAAAGAAUAAAACAUCACAGUAAUUAUCUUCUCAUUGUGUUAUUAACAAACUUUUGGACAAUAAAAUAAAAUAAUAGGUGAUAAUAAUAAACAAUUCAAUCAUUUCAAUAGACUAAUUAAUUUUGUAAGUAAAUUUAGAACAAUAAUAUAUCGUGUUCCGUUAUAAAUUCUAUUUGAUACAAGUAUAUAAACCUCGUAAAAAGUAUAAACAUUUAAUUUUGUUAACAAAGUCAACAUGUUUCGAUCCUGUGAAUUCAUCAUCUACACUUUUCUGGUUUUUUAUUUAAAUAUUUCAAGAAAUUCAAUAGUUGCUGCGACAAUAGAAGAAUCAAAUGCUGCAACAACUAAAUGCCUAAACAUAUCAAAAGUUGAUGUAAAUCUAGUAAUAAACACGUUGUUAACUGGAAAUAUUACUUCCGAUGCAAAAUUUAAAAAUUUCGUGCAAUGUAUUUACUUUGAACUAGAAUAUCAAGAGAAAAACAGUGCUAAAAUAAAUAGGGAUAGAGUGUAUAAA